Molecule: unclassified non-coding RNA, 1517 nt
Filed under: Hevea brasiliensis (rubber tree)
Lineage: Eukaryota; Viridiplantae; Streptophyta; Magnoliopsida; Malpighiales; Euphorbiaceae
Source: RNAcentral
AGUUUUGCCUUCACUGCUGCUGCUGAAAGUGCAGAAACUGCAGCACGCUUAAAUCUAUCGAUGCUAUUGUCAUCUUUAAUCUCCUUACAAUCAGGCUUCUCUUUUUUGCUGUCCUUUUGGUCCUCAGCUGUAGUUGUUCCAUUUCCAACCACUGAAUUUGGUGCAACUGGCUGCUGAGACUCUUUUGCUUCUGAAGGCAGAUCAGACGACAUGUCUAUAUCCUUUGGAGCAUCUGUGGGCUGAGAGUGAUCUCCCACUGAAUUUGUUUUCACUAGUUGCACAUUCUUACCUGCAGGCAGAGAAUCUGAGAUCAUUUUUACAUUCUUUGAUGUCUCUGCAGCUUGAGAGGGCUCUUCAACCAACAUUGGUGCAGCUGAUUGACAAGGCUCAUUAUUUUCAAAUGGUUUCGAAUCAGACACCAUAUCUAUAUCCUUGGAAACUUCCAUUUGCUGAGAGUUUGCAGCUGCUGAAGAUCCUUCUGUCUCCUGAAAAGAACUUGGGGGACACUCAGACAUGGAUUGCAUCGCAUUUGAUUCGUUUAAACUACUUAUCUGGGGGUCCUUUUGAAACUCUGAUUCACUAGAUUCCUUCAAUUUACCACUUUCAUCUUCCUCAUGAGAAAUUGCAGUGCCUGCUUCAUUUGCAGUAUUUACCUUCUCAGUGGGUUCAUCAUUCAAAGAAUCCGGAGGCUGCUUUUCCUCUGGAGCAGAAUCUUCAGUUUUCUUGUUAUUGUGGUUAAUUGAUAAGUCUCUUCCAACCAAAUCUUUCUGGGUUUGGCCUUCAUGGUUGUAUUGUUGAGCCUCUUGAUUAGCUGUUUCUAUGGCACUGCAAUCAGGACCAGCUGGUCCCUUCAGGUCAUCUGGUGGAUCUUCCAAAAGAAAGCAGUGCCUUGCUGCCAGCUGCAUACCAGGAGAAUCACUAUUUAAGGAUUUCAAAGAGCAGCGAGCUGAAGUCAUAGCCACAUCACUUCCUACCAAUCUUGCCAAAAACACUGCCAAAGCCAUGACAGGAUUUCCAAUUUCAGCAAAUGAGAGCCGAUUUUCAGAAGAACAAGGAUAACCAACAGCUUCAAAUGCUUCAAUAAGCGCUUUAAGUGCCAAAUUUUCACUGGUAUGCUGAGCAGCCUUCACUUCACUAGUAUCUUCUGAUUUUGAAGAUUUGUCAUCAAUUAUUGCUUCACUGGCAUUGUUAGGCUUUGCAGUUUCCUGACAGCCUUUUACUUCAACCACAUCUUCUGGUUUUGAAGCUUCUAGUUCAGAAGUCAGGGGCAUAUCCUCCUUAGAACCAGUUUUAUCCUCACUUGUUUCAGUCCCAUCCUUAGGAACAGAUGUAUCAUCAUUGUUUGCAGGUUGAUCUGUAGUUUCUUUACUCCCAUCUACAUCAUCAUCAUCACAGUCAAAAAAGACAUCCUCAAUUGGCAUUUGAACAAAGUGCAAUAUACAUUGAGCUUUAGUUUUUGUGGCAACAUGCUCUGCAAUCUCAUUCCAGUUUUCUUUAUAAAGUUCCAAUGCUUCAAG